AGGUUAUCCUUAUCUCGGUCUUCCUCUGUUAUCACUUCUUUCUUACAUCUUUCUCACUCCAUCUCAGUUUCUAUUCCUAAACGAAGGAAAACCCAAAACUAAUUUUUUUUUUCUCCGCCUCAAUCUCGGAUUCAUCAUUGAAACCCUAAGUUUGUACAACAUAACUAAACCGAAAUCGUUCUUUUCACCAUGAAAAUUCUGUACUUGUUUACAUCGAUGAAGAUUUGAAUCGAACUCCAGUUGCAAUCUGGAAAAUAUUGCUGGUAAUGAAAGAGCAGAAUCAAAUGAGUUUGAAUCAGAUGUUCUAUGACCUUGUAGAUUUAAAUGAAGGCUUUCAAUAUGAGUUGAUGCGUCUUUUGAAUCGAAUGAUUAAGCUACUGAACAAGAUGUUGCAGGAGGAGAAAUUAGUAGUCUUAGAGAUCAAAAUCAAAGAAGUUCACUUUGGCUGGUGGUGGAAAGGACUUUAGAUGAACAGCUUCAACAACUUCAUGAAACAAAUUGUAAGGAUUUGGUUCUAUUGCCUUGAUGAGUUCUGUAUUGGGCGAAGCUAGAUUGAAACAUUCGAAACAAGAAAAACGACAAAGGAUAUUUCCUUUAUGUCUCAUGGACCCUUAUUGUACAAAUUAAUCAGUAAACUUUUCUCUAUCUAACUAGCCUGUAAAAAGUGCGACUUUGCUUCAGUUUUGAUUACGGUAUGGUACUUAUGAUAUAAAACAGGGAACCAAGAGACCUAUACUUGAAUACCGAAGAAUUCAUUGAUGUUGUUGCAGAAAAUCUGGAUGUGAAGCUUGUUCAAUCUUUUAAAUAGUGUUUAGUACAAGUUUGGUUACACCAAAUGUUUGUAUUGGAUCGUUAUGCGUACAUGCAACACCUUUUAUCUGAUUUGAUUUGUAAAUGGAAGAAUAAGCAUGCAUUUAGUUCUUAACUUAUUAGUUUAACUAUCACUUUCAUUUAUUUAAGCGCUUAUAAUCAGAUGGUGAGUUGCGAUGACUGGGCUUUGACCUUUUUGCAGGUAUUAUAUUAAUUCCUAAUAAGAUUUUAGAUAUUUCAGUUUGACGUGUUAGGUAUUGUUCUUCUGGUUUGACAAUUUAACAAAUUUCACCGAAGUGUCAUAGGUUUAGUUGAUCAUCCCUAUUAGUGGUUCAUGGGUCAAGCCAAUGGGUCUGGCAGUAUACAUGUUUCCUGCCACAUCCAAGAUAUUUGCGUCUUAUCUUGUAGUGGAGCUUGGCACUGCAAUGGUGAUGGAGCUGAAACGGAGGUAAAAAAUCAACUAGAUUCAUGUUCUCAGCGAUGUUACUACCUGCUGGUGUUGCUGCUCUGUGUAUUCAGUAGCGAAGUCUUUACUGAAGCAGCUGCUCUAUGUAUCCAGUAAGAAUGUGCAUCAGAACUUGCAUAUACUGUCAAUGCUGGUCAUGGUGUAGUUUCCUGUAAGACAAUCAUGGAGUUCUAUCCAAAUGCCGAGGAGCUGGCACUCAAUGACUAGUUUUGCGUUUGAAGUGGGUGAUUAUGAUUGGUUGAGUUUGCUCUUGCUUGAAGCAGAAGGCAUACAAGGAAAUUAAAGAAUGAGAUGAAGAAAUUUUUGGCUUGCAUAUGUCGACAUGAAAUCCUUAACUCUGAAAAUGUUGACAACCCUAGCAAUGUCAUGGAGCUUAGGUUUUGGUCUUUUUAUAAAGAUAAACAUUAGCAAGGAAUGGCUGCAAGAGAAACUGGUGCACUUGAAGAAGCGAAGGAUAAUGUUGAAAAACAAGUGGAGGCUCUUACAUGGCAUUUGCAGUUGAUAGCUCUUGGCAUGUUCAAGGUGUUGCGUGUAAAAUGUUACUACUAAACUAUGAAGUAUUUUAGAAAAAAAAUUGUUGAAACUCAGAACGUCGUCCUUAGCAACAAUCUGAAAAUAGAAGAUUCAUAUUACCAUAUGCAUUGUUAUACUUUUUAGGUCAAGUUGCCUUGGUAGUUUUGUCUGAAGAAGAUUCAGAUGUGGAUCAUGAGUGAUUCUGGUUUUUUUAAUUUGUACAACAGAUUCUGUUUUUAAUAAAAUGCUAAUUCAAUUUUUUGUUUGUCA
This is a long non-coding RNA of Papaver somniferum (opium poppy), 2059 nucleotides long. RefSeq lists it as uncharacterized. The record is from RefSeq and is a predicted model, not a curated record. The transcript has 9 exons. Lineage: Eukaryota; Viridiplantae; Streptophyta; Magnoliopsida; Ranunculales; Papaveraceae.